GACGUAGGGCGCGAGCGUUGUCCGGAUUUAUUGGGCGUAAAGAGCUCGUAGGCGGCUUGUUGCGUCGACUGUGAAAACCUGCGGCUCAACCGUGUGGUCUGCAGUCGAUACGGGCAGGCUGGAGUACGGUAGGGGCAGAGGGAAUUUCCGGUGGAGCGGUGAAAUGCGUAGAGAUCGGAAAGAACACCAACGGCGAAAGCACUCUGCUGGGCCGACACUGACACUGAGAGACGAAAGCUAGGGGAGCGAAUGGG
RNAcentral lists this ribosomal RNA (254 nucleotides) under uncultured bacterium. Its description in RNAcentral is "partial 16S ribosomal RNA". It matches the Rfam family "Bacterial small subunit ribosomal RNA", at positions 524 to 776 of the family's 1533-position model. The record is from RNAcentral.